This 372-nucleotide long non-coding RNA is filed under the name Nicotiana tabacum (common tobacco). Its description in RNAcentral is "long non-coding RNA (NTAB_LNC016502)". Lineage: Eukaryota; Viridiplantae; Streptophyta; Magnoliopsida; Solanales; Solanaceae. The record is from RNAcentral.
AUCCUCAUUCUCCAGGUGGACGCCUAACUUCUUCAAUUCUUCAUCCUCAUUCUCCAGGUGGACGCCUGACUUUUUCUUAAUUCCUUUAUCCUCAUUCUCCAGGUGGACGCCUGACUUCUUCUUUAUUCCUUUAUCCUCAUUCUCCAGGUGGACGCCUGACUUUUCAAUUCUUCAUCCUCAUUCUCCAGGUGGACGCCUGACUUCUUCAAUUCUUCAUCCUCAUUCUCCAGGUGGACGCCUGACUUCUUCAAUUCUCAUCCUCAUUCUCCAGGUGGACGCCUGAUUUCUUUUUAACUUAUUAUCCUCAUUCUCCAGGUGGACGCCUGAUUUCUUCAAUUCUUUGUCCUCAUUCUCCAGGUGGACGCCUGAAUU